Molecule: long non-coding RNA, 6381 nt
Organism: Homo sapiens (human)
Lineage: Eukaryota; Metazoa; Chordata; Mammalia; Primates; Hominidae
Exons: 2
Source: RefSeq, a predicted model, not a curated record
UGCAUCCAUGCGUCUCUGCAUGUGUGCGUGCAUCCGCAUCCAUGUGCGUAUGCAUGGUCCGUGACCACCAUGCUGCUUGGCUGUCAUGGGAGGACUUGUUCACUGCCUCUGCCUUCUAAGUCCUGAGCUGACUUUCCUCCACAGCUCACAGGAAUUCAGCGGAUAAUUGCUUUUACAUCAGGAUACUUUUUUUCAUUUUCACCUUUAGUAUUAGAAAGGAAUUGAAGCUCUUAUCAGGAUGUUUAAAAUCACAUGCAUAGAACUAAUGGAUUUUCUCUAGAACUCGGCUUCCCCAUUUAUAACAUCCAAAAUUUAGUGAUUCUCUGACUUUAGAAUUCUAAAGGGGAAAAUGUGUAAUUAGAAUUCUAAGGCAAAGAAUGUGCUUGGUGAUUAUUUGGAUUCUGGAUAAACAAGGGUUCCUUUCUUUGUUUCCAAUUAGUGGAAUUAAUAUUCUCAGACCCAUUCUGCAGCUUACAGAGCAACCAAACAAACUGAUUCAGUAAAUACAGGCAUUUAAUUUUAUGUUGUGGUUUAAAAUCUAGCUUAAGCCCUGAAGCGUGCUUAAAUUCUAGAGAUUAGAAUUUAUAUCUUUUGUAAUCUCCAAUGGGUUUUAAUUUUGUAAGUGAGCCAACAGAUUAGCAGAAACCCUAGAUAACAGUGAACUAAUGAUUUAAAAAAAAGUCCCAACUUGAUAUUAAGUGAAUACCUAUUUUUUUCUAGCAAACUGUUCCUUCAACAUAGGUGAAUUCUUUAAUUUUGAAUUAAUUAGCCACUAAAUAUUUCAGAUGUACAUCAUUUAAUAGAAAUUCGAGUAUUUCAUAUUUUCCAAAAAUACAAUUUUAGUUAAAAGCCAAGCAUACUGAAAAAACUUCGAAAUCUCAAACUUAAAAUGUUCAUUCUUUACCACAAUAAAUACAACAAAGGCAAAUCAGGACAUGUAUUAAUAGAGAAAUGUCCAUGGAAAUGCAUGUACCCACCCGGCGUGCUGGAUCCUGCUUCUGUGACUUCACGCGUGUGGAUCCGUGGAAAUGCGUGCACCCGCCCAGCAUGCUGCGUCCUGCUUCUGUGACUUCACACGUGUUGAUCUGUGGAAAUGCAUGCACCCACCCAGCGUGCUGCAUCCUGCUUCUGUGAUUUCACACGUAUUGUUCCAUGGAAAUGUGUGCGCCCACCUGGCGUGCUGUCUCCUGCCUCUGUGAUUUCACGUGUAUUGUUCCAUGGAAAUGCAUGCACCCACCCAUCGUGCUGCGUCCUGCCUCUGUGACUUCACACAUGUUGUUCCUUCAGCCUAAGAUGAUUCCCUGCGUUUCUUGCCCUGGGAAACAUAGAUCAGAUCGGCUCCUCCCCCCUGCAUCAGGGCCUUCUCUGAUAAGCCGAGUUAAUAAUUUCCUCUUUAAUGGUCCUAUAUUUGUAGGUUUCUAUGAUGUAUCAUUUGUCACAGUGCAUAAUUAUUAUAAUCAUUGUGUACUAUUAUCGGAGUGUCUGCCUCACUUUGUAGAUUAUUAACUCCUUGUAAGUUGUCUUAUUUUUAAAAUUCACCUUUGUCCCCUCCAUGCCCCAUAGAAUAAGUGCUUAGUAGAUGUUGACACUGUUAAACUCACAAUUUUUUUUUUUUUUUUGAGACAGAGUCUCGCUCUGUUACCCAGACUGGAGUGCAAUGGCGUGAUCUCGGUUCAUGCAACCUCCGCCUCCCAGGUUCAAGCAAUUCUCCUACCUCAGCCUCCUGAGUAGCUGGGACUACAGGCACCAGCCUCCACGCCCGGCUUACUUUUUGUAUUUUACUGGAGACAGGGUUUCAUUGUGUUGCCCAGGCUGGUCUUGAACUCCUGAGGUCAGGCAAUCCACCCGCCUCAGCCUCCCAAAGUGCUAGGAUUACAGGCAUGAGCCACUGCACCCGGCCUGAAACUCACAAGUUUUAAGGCUUUUUAAACAACCACGAUGCACAUCCUCCGGGAGGAAAGGUGGUUAAACCGCUUCUGGCUUUGAGUCUGGGUGGCCCCGGUAGUAAGUUUACGUGACAACCAUGGCAAGGGAGCUCUUCCUCCCACCCCACACUGUGGCUCCUGCUGUACCAGGUUGCAGACGCAGUACCAGGGCGAGUGUAGUGCGGGAAGCAAUGGCUCCUGCUGAACCAGGAUUCGAACGUGGGGCAGGCAGCAGCAGCUCCUGCUGUACGGGGAUGCAGAUACGGAGCGGGCAGCAAUGCCCCAAUGCCCUGUGGCCUCUUCUGGGCAGCUAUCCUUAGCACCCUAUUCUAGAACAAUCCCAAACUUGCCAGGUGAGACAGGAGCCCUGCCUCCGCUCCAAUGACUGGUCGCUGCCUGUGCCACCCAGGACACCUUUUUAUUUGGAUCUUUGAAGAAAGAGUUUCACAUCGUGUUUCCUUUCCUAACCACCUGUUCCUGGAGCUGAGGGCUUGGCUGUACUACUAGCUGAAACCAGGGCAUUUCAUGGAUCACGUUUCCUAAUUAUUUGUUUAUUAUUUAUGCUCUGCCUCAUUCGGAAAGCCCAGCUGUUAUUUAAUAGGAUUAAUGUGGCGCGUUUCGACACAGUAAAGAAGUUGCUGUUUCUUUACACCAGAUUCAUCUGGCAACUGAAGUGUGCGUCUGGUCUGCUGUGAUAUCCAACCGGAAAGGCUGAAGCUAUGUCUCUAGGGCCUCUGGCUUAGUGAAAUAAGAAGCGUCCAUUGAAGGGGGAGGAAGACGACCCCCAAAGUCUGUAUUUUGAAUAUGGACUGUUUGCUCUUAAGUUGCUUCAAACAUGAUUCAGUCUUUCCCAAAUUAGGACAAACCACUGUCUCUGCCCCCAUAAGAACAGAAUGGUGUUUGUAAUUCAAUAACAACAGAGUUUUCAUUGAGCUCCAGGCCAUUUUGUCCCAGAGAGCACAUUCCUAUCCUAUCUCUUCUGUACUGACUCAACUUAGUCCUGAGUUUGACUUUACAACACUGUAAGAAAGUUAGAUUGAUGUUUCAGCUGGCCUUUAUAAAAUGCACAUGAUUUCGUCUGCGUUACUGUCUGAAAUUCUUCCACAGCGUUCAAGCGACAUGUUUCCACAGGCAGAGCAGGCACCUUCUUCCCAGAUCAUCUUACCCAUUAACACAUUGCUCAGGAUGUAAAACUGUCCAGGACACAGUGUUACAUCCAUUCUCCAUAGGGUUUUCUUAAGCUGCGUGGUUUGCAAUGUAAGGACAAGUGUUAUCCUCUCAAAAGCGCCUUUGGACUGGAAUUGAUUCCUGUGUCCUUGAGCCAUGUCCUUUUCAGCCAUUUCACAAUUCCUUAACUGUUGAGGACUUAACAUAUAUGAGAUAUUUGGGCAGGCACGACUUCCAUGUUCCUGUCUUUCUUCCUAAAAUAUCAGAGGAGCGGGAGUCACAGCAUCUAAAAUGAAACUCAUCUUGGCAGUCCCGUGAAAUACGGAGCUGAUUUGUUUUCUUGCUGCAGAGAGCACAAGAAUAAAGGAAGACUCCACAAGCCUCGUCUUCCAGAUCGUGCUGACCUGCUUGGCUCAGCCUUGCCCUGGAGGCAGACUCGGGAUGAGAAUUACGGAUUCACAAAUAUCCGAAACCACCCCUGUACUUCCCCAGGCCAGAUCAUUCUCUCAGUUUAGACCUCUCAACCUGAACCGAUGGAUGCUCUGCCUGGCAUCCUUGGCCUCCACCUCACCCAACACUCACCUUCUUGUCUUCCAGUCUUAGUUUAAAACUCACCUCUGCAGGGUCACUUUCCCCCAGUCCCCCAGAGCUGGUGUAGCGGAUGGUCUUCUCAGCGAGGCUGUCCUGAGAUGUUCAAUGUCGCAAUGAGACAGUCAUUCCACGACCCCAAGAGUGAGAUGUCCGAUGGUCUCACCAAGCUUUCUUUCCUGGACCAAGGAAGUUCCCAAACAACUUAGCAUCUUAGAGUUAAAGCUGCCUGUGUGUCCAGCCAUCUGCCUGCAGGGGGCGUCCUCCCACCUCCAGCAGCCCUGGUCCCUGGGUGUGGUCCCCCGACCCUGCAGCCCGGCUGCUGUAGCGCGUUUUUGAAGUGAGCUUUCACUGCCUCCCAUGGUUUCAAGAUUUGGGGUGCUCGGCGGAUUUAUCUGUAAAAAACUUUGUACGCAUACAUUGCUAGCUCAGGCCAAAUUAAAUCUAGUUAACGUUUGCUUUUAUUUGGGAUGCAAAAGGGAUCUCCCCUGAAAGGAUUAAGGGGACACAAGCAUACCCUACAGGGCCUGAACGGAGCAGCCUCCAGCAGUGAUUGGCGGGGUUCUCAUUAUUCCUCUCGCGUGUGCUGCUAGAGAGUUUAAAGCAACUUUGGUACCGCUUGCCAAAGAAAAAUGACAGACUCAGGUCUGUUUUCCUGAGACGGGUGAAAUGUUAAUUUACUGUAUCAAGAGUUGUCGUCAGCUCCUUUUGGAUCGUUUUUUUGCAAGGACCGUCCAUGGAGAUGGCUUUCCAGCCACAGUCUUCUGUUUUGAUCUCCUUUUUCUAUUUUGUAAUCUUUAUUGUAGUGGUAACUACAGGUCUAAUCAUUAUCUUCCCCCGUAAGCUAUAAGGCCCAUGGGAAUGUGAGUUUCUGCCUCCGGGUUAGCCAUCUGGUUUUCAGGACCCAGUGUAGAAUGAAAAGAUGGGCCAUUUGUUCAAUAAGCAGGAAAAAUGGCCAUAAGUGGACUCAACUAUACAGCUUUUUUCUUCUUCGAUGGUUUCUUGACUUGCUAUGGUAUUUUUUGUUUGCUCCUUAAUGCUAUUUUGAAUAAAGAUUGGAAGUCUAACUAUUAGCAUGCUUUUACCAUUUGUCUUUAUACUGUGUGACAGCAGUUUUAAAUAAAAAUAAAAGGGCAUUUAACUUGUAUGCAGAAUCAGUGAAAUUAGACAAUCUGUAUUUCACUAUUGCACAUAUAUUUUGUUCUUCCUGGAACAGUGGAAAUAUUGAACUAAAAAAGUACUUUAAUAUCACUUCACAGUGUACCACAUUCUAACAAAACUCUCUCCCACUGACUCACUGAUGAGCAAGGAAGAAAUGUAAGGAAAGGAGCUCUGGGCCGCCCUGUCUUUCAGGACAUGGCACGCGCUCGGUCUCGGUCCGGGCCUGUCACUCAGGACACGGCGUGCACUCGGUCUCGGUCCGGUCCUGUCUUUCAGGACAUGGCACGCACUCGGUCUCAGUCCGGGCUUGUCACUCAGGACACGGCGCGUGCUCGGUCUCAGUCUUGGUCUGGGCCUGUCACUCAGGACACGGCGAGCUCUUAGUCUUGGUCUGGGCUUGUCAAGUGAACAGGAGCUUUCCAUUUGGGAAAUUAAAACCUUUAAAGAACAUGCUUGAACCUUAGUUUCUUCUUCCUGUUUUUCCAACUGGAGAGACUAAGUUCACAGCUGUUUCCAUCUCUCAUUUCUUCACAUGACUCUGAUUUAUCCCAUUUUCACAGUACCUUCCUCCCUUUGGUGUUGUAGUAUAUGUUGUUGUGGAAACAUGUAAACACAGUGACAAUACAGGGAGAAGAGAAAAAGUGGAAAAAACUGUUACAUAAGAUCAGCCGUGCUCUUUAGCCAGCAUAAAAUGUCUUGAGCAAUGACACAGGCCUUGGGCUAUGAGGGUGAACUAAGGCCUAGGCAGUGAUUCUGAAGCAAAUGUUUCCAUUGCGAAAAUCCCGGGCAGGCCCCUGGAGGCAGAGCCCUGGUUCCACGUGGCCCAGCCGUCUCCUGAGAGCGGAGCCUGCCUUCCAUCCUCCUGACACUGAGCGAGAUUACAGUUCCGAGGCGUCUCACAUUUCACCAUUUAGGACGUUAACACUGCUGUGUAUUUCUUUGCAAUUUUACAGACUUUGAUCCAAUGACAUUAAAGCAGAUGAGCCACCCAAAACUAAUAUACAGUGUCUACUGCAGAAGACGUGUGCUCUUCACCAGUCUGUGGACCAGGAAACGAGCCGCUGGGGAUCUCAGUCGCAAGGGUGCUCAGGUGGCCUUGGUGCAGACACUCACAGCUCUCAGACUGCAGAGUGUGCCGGUCCUCGGAGAAGGGGUGUCCUUCAGGGCAGUGCUUCUCUGGCUGAUGCCACAGACUGGCUAGUGGAUGGCCAGACUCAUCACACUGACACCCCUGUUCACCUAAACCAGAUACAACCCCUUCCUGAUGCAUCUGUUGGUGCCAAAUCUUUUUUUUUUUUUUGUAGCUUUUUAUUAUUAAAACAGUCACUGCAAUUAUCAGGAGUCGUCUAAUGUACAGUGACUGCUAUUCCUAUUGCUGGUGAGUGAGAAUAUUAAUACCAUCUGUAGUAGUGAGACAGCAAAUAUUUCCCGCCUCACAGGUGCCCUGGUAUUUUAGUGCAGAAAAUAUUCUUACAGUUCCCUGGAAAGCACGCUUUAUAAACUCUUACACAUUUUCAAAAUAAAGAUUUUUUAAAAUAAA